RNAcentral lists this transfer RNA (90 nucleotides) under Luteitalea sp. TBR-22. RNAcentral's name for it is "Vicinamibacteria bacterium TBR-22 tRNA-Ser". It matches the Rfam family "tRNA". Rfam says of the family: Transfer RNA (tRNA) molecules are approximately 80 nucleotides in length. Their secondary structure includes four short double-helical elements and three loops (D, anti-codon, and T loops). Further hydrogen bonds mediate the characteristic L-shaped molecular structure. tRNAs have two regions of fundamental functional importance: the anti-codon, which is responsible for specific mRNA codon recognition, and the 3' end, to which the tRNAs corresponding amino acid is attached (by aminoacyl-tRNA synthetases). tRNAs cope with the degeneracy of the genetic code in two manners: having more than one tRNA (with a specific anti-codon) for a particular amino acid; and 'wobble' base-pairing, i.e. permitting non-standard base-pairing at the 3rd anti-codon position. Lineage: Bacteria; Pseudomonadati; Acidobacteriota; Vicinamibacteria; Vicinamibacterales; Vicinamibacteraceae. The record is from RNAcentral.
GGAGAGAUGGCCGAGGGGUUUAAGGCAGCGGUCUUGAAAACCGCCGUACGGGUAACCGUACCGUGGGUUCGAAUCCCACUCUCUCCGCCA